UAAUGAUGAUGAUAAUGAUGAUGAUGAUGAUGAUGAUGAUGACGAGGACGUGCACGACAUAAUCAUCACAUAAUCAUCAUCAUCAUCAUAUUUUUUU
Molecule: microRNA precursor, 97 nt
Filed under: Pediculus humanus corporis (human body louse)
Lineage: Eukaryota; Metazoa; Arthropoda; Insecta; Psocodea; Pediculidae
Description: microRNA mir-598
Source: RNAcentral